GACGAACGCUGGCGGCGUGCUUAACACAUGCAAGUCGAACGGAAAGGCCCUGCUUUUGUGGGGUGCUCGAGUGGCGAACGGGUGAGUAACACGUGAGUAACCUGCCCUUGACUUUGGGAUAACUUCAGGAAACUGGGGCUAAUACCGGAUAGGAGCUCCUGCUGCAUGGUGGGGGUUGGAAAGUUUCGGCGGUUGGGGAUGGACUCGCGGCUUAUCAGCUUGUUGGUGGGGUAGUGGCUUACCAAGGCUUUGACGGGUAGCCGGCCUGAGAGGGUGGCCGGCCACAUUGGGACUGAGAUACGGCCCAGACUCCUACGGGAGGCAGCAGUGGGGAAUAUUGCACAAUGGGCGGAAGCCUGAUGCAGCAACGCCGCGUGCGGGAUGACGGCCUUCGGGUUUUAAACCGCUUUCGCCUGUGACGAAGCGUGAGUGACGGUAAUGGGUAAAGAAGCACCGGCUAACUACGUG
RNAcentral lists this ribosomal RNA (468 nucleotides) under uncultured bacterium. RNAcentral describes it as "partial 16S ribosomal RNA". It matches the Rfam family "Bacterial small subunit ribosomal RNA", at positions 28 to 507 of the family's 1533-position model. The record is from RNAcentral.